This 346-nucleotide unclassified non-coding RNA is filed under the name soil metagenome. RNAcentral describes it as "partial contains 5.8S ribosomal RNA, internal transcribed spacer 2, and large subunit ribosomal RNA". The stretch from base 1 to 120 matches the Rfam family "5.8S ribosomal RNA", at positions 35 to 154 of the family's 154-position model. The record is from RNAcentral.
GAUGAAGAACGCAGCAAAAUGCGAUAAGUAAUGUGAAUUGCAGAAUUCAGUGAAUCAUCGAAUCUUUGAACGCACAUUGCGCCCGCCAGUAUUCUGGCGGGCAUGCCUGUUCGAGCGUCAUUUCAACCCUCAAGCCCUCGGGUUUGGUGUUGGGGAUCGGCGAGCCUUUCUGGCAAGCCGGCCCCGAAAUCUAGUGGCGGUCUCGCUGCAGCCUCCAUUGCGUAGUAGUAAAACCCUCGCACCUGGAACGCGGCGCGGCCAAGCCGUUAAACCCCCAACUUCUGAAUGUUGACCUCGGAUCAGGUAGGAAUACCCGCUGAACUUAAGCAUAUCAAUAAGCGGAGGA